RNAcentral lists this ribosomal RNA (165 nucleotides) under uncultured bacterium. RNAcentral describes it as "partial 16S ribosomal RNA". It matches the Rfam family "Bacterial small subunit ribosomal RNA", at positions 355 to 511 of the family's 1533-position model. The record is from RNAcentral.
UAGGGAAUCUUCGGCAAUGGACGAAAGUCUGACCGAGCAACGCCGCGUGAGUGAAGAAGGUUUUCGGAUCGUAAAACUCUGUUGGUAGAGAAGAACGUUGGUGAGAGUGGAAAGCUCAUCAAGUGACGGUAACUACCCAGAAAGGGACGGCUAAAUACGUGCUAG